GACGAACGCUGGCGGCGUGCUUAACACAUGCAAGUCGAACGGAAAGGCCCUGCUUUUGUGGGGUGCUCGAGUGGCGAACGGGUGAGUAACACGUGAGUAACCUGCCCUUGACUUUGGGAUAACUUCAGGAAACUGGGGCUAAUACCGGAUAGGAGCUCCUGCUGCAUGGUGGGGGUUGGAAAGUUUCGGCGGUUGGGGAUGGACUCGCGGCUUAUCAGCUUGUUGGUGGGGUAGUGGCUUACCAAGGCUUUGACGGGUAGCCGGCCUGAGAGGGUGACCGGCCACAUUGGGACUGAGAUACGGCCCAGACUCCUACGGGAGGCAGCAGUGGGGAAUAUUGCACAAUGGGCGGAAGCCUGAUGCAGCAACGCCGCGUGCGGGAUGACGGCCUUCGGGUUGUAAACCGCUUUCGCCUGUGACGAAGCGUGAGUGACGGUAAUGGGUAAAGAAGCACGGGCUAAAUACGUG
RNAcentral lists this ribosomal RNA (468 nucleotides) under uncultured bacterium. RNAcentral's name for it is "partial 16S ribosomal RNA". It matches the Rfam family "Bacterial small subunit ribosomal RNA", at positions 28 to 507 of the family's 1533-position model. The record is from RNAcentral.